CCUACGGGCGGCAGCAGUGAGGAAUAUUGGUCAAUGGACGCAAGUCUGAACCAGCCAUGCCGCGUGCAGGAAGACGGCUCUAUGAGUUGUAAACUGCUUUUGUACGAGGGUAAACGCAGAUACGCGUAUCUGUCUGAAAGUAUCGUACGAAUAAGGAUCGGCUAACUCCGUGCCAGCAGCCGCGGUAAUACGGAGGAUUCAAGCGUUAUCCGGAUUUAUUGGGUUUAAAGGGUGCGUAGGCGGUCGGAUAAGUUAGAGGUGAAAUCCCGAGGCUCAACUUCGGAAUUGCCUCUGAUACUGUUCGGCUAGAGAGUAGUUGCGGUAGGCGGAAUGUAUGGUGUAGCGGUGAAAUGCUUAGAGAUCAUACAGAACACCGAUUGCGAAGGCAGCUUACCGGCGCUCAACUGACGCUCAUGCACGAAAGUGUGGGUAUCGAACAGGAUUAGAUACCCUAGUAGUC
This 460-nucleotide ribosomal RNA is filed under the name uncultured bacterium. RNAcentral describes it as "partial 16S ribosomal RNA". It matches the Rfam family "Bacterial small subunit ribosomal RNA", at positions 338 to 795 of the family's 1533-position model. The record is from RNAcentral.